AUUCUUACCUGACAGGGGAGAUACUAUGAUCAUGAAGGUGGUUUUCCGAGGUUGAUGCUCAUUCAUUGCACUCCGGGUGUGCUGACCCCUGUGAUUUCCCAAAUCCUGGAAAUUCUACCUCUUUAUUUUUUUUAUAGUCAACUUUUCUACCAAGGAGCUUGUAC
This is a small nuclear RNA of Elgaria multicarinata webbii, 164 nucleotides long. RefSeq annotates it as U1 spliceosomal RNA. The record is from RefSeq and is a predicted model, not a curated record. NCBI's taxonomy places the organism in Eukaryota, Metazoa, Chordata, Lepidosauria, Squamata, Anguidae. The transcript has a single exon.